RNAcentral lists this ribosomal RNA (159 nucleotides) under uncultured bacterium. Its description in RNAcentral is "partial 16S rRNA". It matches the Rfam family "Bacterial small subunit ribosomal RNA", at positions 355 to 507 of the family's 1533-position model. The record is from RNAcentral.
UCGAGAAUUUUUCACAAUGGGCGCAAGCCUGAUGGAGCGACGCCGCGUGAGGGAUGAAUGGCUUCGGCUCGUAAACCCCUGUCAUUCGCGAUCAAACGUUGGUAUUUAAAAGAUGCCAGCCUGAUAGUACCGGAAGAGGAAGGCACGGCUAAAUCUGUG